Molecule: long non-coding RNA, 748 nt
Filed under: Fukomys damarensis (Damara mole-rat)
Lineage: Eukaryota; Metazoa; Chordata; Mammalia; Rodentia; Bathyergidae
Description: lncRNA (ENSFDAG00000023339.1)
Source: RNAcentral
CCCCUCCUCCUGAUUACACUGCCCAUAUCUUCAGUGCCACCCUGCUCCUCUUUGUGGGCACAGUGAUGGAUCACACGGCUCUUCCCAAAGGGUCACUGCUGGUUCACUUGUGUGGUUGCUCUUUCACUCUCUGACAUCUGAAAUCACUCACUUCACGGCAGUUGUCUAGCUAUGCCAUGGUUUCUCACUUUCUGAUGCCUUUAGGCAUCCUAUCCCCUCUGGCAGAGCAUGAUUUUGUUAUUGUUGUUCCUGUUUUGACACAGGGUCUCACUGAGUCACUGAGCUGCCCAGCCUGAGUUCAAACCUGCAGUGAUCCUCUUGUCUCACCCUCCAAGACUGCUGGGAUUACAGUCGUGUGUCACCAUGCUCUCUCCAGCGUUUUAUGUUAACAAACAUGAGAACCCGUAGAGCAGCUGUAUUGGUCCAGUCAACUAGGUAGUUCCGACGAAGGGGGAACAUCAACCACGACUUGCAGUUUAUUCUGAUCAUCUCCCUGAAGUGAGGAUACCUACCAAGGAAGUCCUGAUGCACUUGACAAGGGGAGCAGGCUGCAUAUCCAGGAAGAUGUUUGCUGUAACAACUCUUCAUGUUCCUGUGACCACCUUAGAAAGGAAUCACAUUCUCUUUUAAGUGGUGAGGAAUACAUUCCAAAGGAGGAAGAGGUUCACAUAUGGAGCUCCCAUCCGAAACAAGAGAGAAACAAAACAACAUCUCGUAAGUCUCUCCUGGAUUCUUAUGCUCAAGCUCU